RNAcentral lists this transfer RNA (77 nucleotides) under Thermoprotei archaeon. RNAcentral describes it as "tRNA-Arg". It matches the Rfam family "tRNA". Rfam says of the family: Transfer RNA (tRNA) molecules are approximately 80 nucleotides in length. Their secondary structure includes four short double-helical elements and three loops (D, anti-codon, and T loops). RNAcentral also lists the same sequence under 1 other name. Lineage: Archaea; Thermoproteati; Thermoproteota; Thermoprotei. The record is from RNAcentral.
GGGCCCGUAGCUCAGCUAGGAAGAGCGCCGGCCUUCGGAGCCGGUGGUCCCGGGUUCAAAUCCCGGCGGGCCCGCCA